Molecule: long non-coding RNA, 1024 nt
Organism: Gallus gallus (chicken)
Lineage: Eukaryota; Metazoa; Chordata; Aves; Galliformes; Phasianidae
Source: Ensembl
AGAAGUGAUCACAUUUAAGUACAGUUUUACUUACUUCUUGACUGAAGUUAAUAUACCUGUGGCUCUGUGCAGGAUCAGCAAGAAGUGCAGAUCAGCAACAUUUGCUCAGGCUUCUGCAUCCAACCAGGCCCUGGGCACCACAUGGUGAUGUCACUGUGGUGAGUGGUAGGUGCCAUGAUUACAUUUGAGCAUCUUCCAGCGGAACCCUCAGACAGUUCCAUUGGAUUUGGCUUGCUGACCAGCAGGGCGGAGACUGUCUCCUUGCAGAAAUGGCUGCAAGUGCAAACUUUGGGCAGAUGGAGGCAAGAGAAAGUGAACCAUGUGCAGAAACUUCUGAUUCAGAGAACCUGGCUGAGUCCUCAGGCUUCCCUUCUGCUGAUCCUCCAGGACAGGAUCAAGGAACAUCUGGUGAUGCUGCCAUAGCAUUGAUAAUAGAUGGAAAGCAGACAGAAACAUUUAUUGAUUAAGACAAAAUCAAAUAUUUAUCUCAUACUUUUUCUGAAGAAAGCACUGGCAAAGCCAGCAUCUUCUCUGCCCUCAGCUUUCCAGAGAAACUCUGGGUGUUGGCUGAAAGUGACCAAUUUGAGAGCAUUCGGUGGGGUUGCGGUGGAAAGUGUGUUGUGAUCGAUGAAGUAGUAUUUCAGGUGGAAGUACUGGGAAGGAGAAGGCCUUGGAGAGCUUUUGAGAUUGAAAGUAUGAAGACUGAAAGUUUUGUUCAACAACACAAUCUAUAUGGAUUCACCAAAACACUACCUGACUUCAGAAGACCUCCCUCGCUUCCCAGAUUUCUGGCAGAGGAAGAAGCAUUUGCUGCCCAUUGGAAGGUACAUCUGUUGCUUCAUGUGUGAACCAACUCAAAAUAUUCUGGUGAGAAAGAUGGGGGGCCCGAUUAAACAUGCCUUGGUAAUAGAAGAGAUGAGGAGAAAUGAAAAUGUUCUGAUCUUCAUUGUUUUUUUUUGGCUGUUGGCAGCUUUUUAGAGGUAGUAUUGCUGAGUUGACGAAAUGUGAAUAAAAUGUAUUUGGG